GCACUGGUAAGCUCGCUCGCUACUUCUGGUGCCGAUCUCCUUUAGCUUCGACCACCUGAACUUCCCUUCGCCCGUGGCGCCGAUGUCUUCCAAAUCCAGGCGGUCGAAGCCACCCGACAAACGACGAAGAUGGCACGGUCGUUCUGAGACUCAUCUUCAGACGAUUUGCGAGGCAACCACCAUGCGCUUUAGAUUUGAUUCUGAUCG
RNAcentral lists this long non-coding RNA (207 nucleotides) under Elaeis guineensis (African oil palm). RNAcentral describes it as "long non-coding RNA (EGUI_LNC013140)". The record is from RNAcentral. Lineage: Eukaryota; Viridiplantae; Streptophyta; Magnoliopsida; Arecales; Arecaceae.